This 468-nucleotide ribosomal RNA is filed under the name uncultured bacterium. RNAcentral's name for it is "partial 16S ribosomal RNA". It matches the Rfam family "Bacterial small subunit ribosomal RNA", at positions 28 to 507 of the family's 1533-position model. The record is from RNAcentral.
GACGAACGCUGGCGGCGUGCUUAACACAUGCAAGUCGAACGGAAAGGCCCUGCUUUUGUGGGGUGCUCGAGUGGCGAACGGGUGAGUAACACGUGAGUAACCUGCCCUUGACUUUGGGAUAACUUCAGGAAACUGGGGCUAAUACCGGAUAGGAGCUCCUGCUGCAUGGUGGGGGUUGGAAAGUUUCGGCGGUUGGGGAUGGACUCGCGGCUUAUCAGCUUGUUGGUGGGGUAGUGGCUUACCAAGGCUUUGACGGGUAGCCGGCCUGAGAGGGUGACCGGCCACAUUGGGACUGAGAGACGGCCCAGACUCCUACGGGAGGCAGCAGUGGGGAAUAUUGCACAAUGGGCGGAAGCCUGAUGCAGCAACGCCGCGUGCGGGAUGACGGCCUUCGGGUUGUAAACCGCUUGCGCCUGUGACGAAGCGUGAGUGACGGUAAUGGGUAAAGAAGCACCGGCUAACUACGUG